This 77-nucleotide transfer RNA is filed under the name Culex quinquefasciatus (southern house mosquito). RNAcentral describes it as "tRNA-Thr". It matches the Rfam family "tRNA". From Rfam's summary of the family: Transfer RNA (tRNA) molecules are approximately 80 nucleotides in length. Their secondary structure includes four short double-helical elements and three loops (D, anti-codon, and T loops). Lineage: Eukaryota; Metazoa; Arthropoda; Insecta; Diptera; Culicidae. The record is from RNAcentral.
GGAGCAGUACGUGGCCGAAUGGUUACGCUGUCCGCUUUGUAAGCGGAUGAUUCUGGGUUCGAUUCCCAUCUGCUCCA